Molecule: ribosomal RNA, 508 nt
Filed under: uncultured bacterium
Lineage: Bacteria
Description: partial 16S ribosomal RNA
Rfam family: Bacterial small subunit ribosomal RNA
Source: RNAcentral
AUUGAACGCUGGCGGCAUGCCUUACACAUGCAAGUCGAACGGCAGCGGGGGAGAAGCUUGCUUUUCCUGCCGGCGAGUGGCGAACGGGUGAGUAAUACAUCGGAACGUGCCCUGUAGUGGGGGAUAACUAGUCGAAAGAUUAGCUAAUACCGCAUACGACCUGAGGGUGAAAGUGGGGGACCGCAAGGCCGCAUGCUAUAGGAGCGGCCGAUGUCUGAUUAUCUAGUUGGUGGGGUAAAGGCCUACCAAGGCGACGAUCAGUAGCUGGUCUGGGAGGACGAUCAGCCACACUGGGACUGAGACACGGCCCAGACUCCUACGGGAGGCAGCAGUGGGGAAUUUUGGACAAUGGGCGAAAGCCUGAUCCAGCAAUGCCGCGUGUGUGAAGAAGGCCUUCGGGUUGUAAAGCACUUUUGUCCGGAAAGAAAUGGCGCUGGUUAAUACCUGGGGUCGAUGACGGUACCGGAAGAAUAAGGACCGGCUAACUACGUGCCAGCCGCCGCAGUAA